This is a long non-coding RNA of Patella vulgata (common limpet), 1749 nucleotides long. RefSeq lists it as uncharacterized. The transcript has 4 exons. Lineage: Eukaryota; Metazoa; Mollusca; Gastropoda; Patellidae. The record is from RefSeq and is a predicted model, not a curated record.
UUUUGAUUGGACAGGAUUUGAAGGUACAAAAUCUAUUAUGUAUGUGCAAUUCAUUACAGUGUACGCUCGGCUGGAUUUCUAGGACUCAUGUGAGUUUGGCGUCCGCUGUCUCGUCGUGCUACAUGUAUAGUUUUUUUUUCGACAAACCAGGAAGAUAACAAAAUGAAGGGCGUCUUUAUACUGGCAUUAUUUACAGUGCUGUACAUCAUACAAUCUGUAAAUGGUGAAUGUUGGCAACCUAGGGAUUGCGUCUACGGUCAGACCUACGGCAAAUCACGAGAAGAAAAAUGCAGGGUCUUAUACAGCUAUAGAGAGUGUUUAGAACAUAGAGGUUGUUUCUAUGGUGACUAUUUAACCAAAUAUCAUACGUAUUAUUACUCUCUAGAUGUUGUAUGUGGUGGAUCUACGGUUACCAUAAGUGCCUCUCUGUUGAUGGUUUCGACGCUAAUUACGGCCUGGAUCUCCUAGACCAACCAAUCAAAAAUUGCCGCUCAGAAAUUGUGAAUAAUGUAUAUAAUACCAGAAGUAGCUGCAUAAUUCUGUGUAUAUAAUUAUUUAAAUCGCCUACGUAUUUAAAGAUGCAUUAUGCAAGUGCUAAAGGUCCUUAUUGCAGGUCUUAAUUCUGGCGUCAAAUGGUAUAUAAACUAUUUUUGUUACAUUUAUUAACAUGACAAACCUAAAAUAAUUUGUCAAGACCAUCGGAUGGCAGAGAAUUAAAUGGAUUAGAACGCCUACGAUUUUUUUUUAAAGUAACGAUAAAAUGGAUAAUCAAGACUUAGCCUCGUGUGUCCAGUACCGUUGUUACAAUAAUAAACAAUCUUCGCUCCGGAAUGUAUUCAUUUUACAUUAUCUAUUUUUGAACUAUUACAUCAAGAACGGCCAACUCUUCAGCUAAAUCAUACAUAAUGCAUCUUUAAAUAGCCUUUCAAUUCAGCCUGUGUUCUCGUCCAACUUAUUCACUUUCGCUUCUCUCCAUUCAGGAACUAAUCUGUGCAUUUCGAGGCCCAUGUAAAGUUGACGGACAGUUACAAUUAAGGGGUUCCAGCUCUGCCCCCGCCGUAUAAUCACGUGGUUUUAAAGCUCGUUUGAACGCGUUUGGCAGAUUUCGAUCUUCAUCACUUCAAAAUCAUAUUAAUCGAACAGUGUCAAACAUACCCUGGCUCAGAUAAGCUGCAAUUCGGCAUAACCCAAAAUGUCUCGUAGGGAACCUGUCUCGUAGGGAAAUUUUGCAAGGACAGCGGCGCUACGGUCUACUCUUAUUUACAAUUCCAACUGUCAAGGGUUCUUUUACGUGCAAGCUAAUGUGUACACGGAAGCUCAGCUCGGCUAUAAACUGUCCCUUGCCACUAACAAGCGUGAACCACGCCGGAAAAAUUUCCGAGGAACUCUCUUGGCCGGCGCAGAAUUCGAACACGGGACCUGCAGGUGGGCGAGCCAACGUCGUACCCACAGAACCAUCGUGGCUACCCAGGCCGGAACCCCCUAGCAAUCAAAAUGUUGGAGUUGUGUGCCACUACGGGAUCUUGUUCCUCGUGCAAAUUCAGCAGUUAAGUUAUCGAGCCUUUGGUAAACUUCUGAUUGAAUUUUAAAUCGCAGUUUGUUACCCUUUUACGCAAAAGGGUAACAAAUUUUGAAUUAGAAUUGUUGAAAUGCAACUUACUUUAAUUGUUAUGAAAAUACUAUAAUACAUGUAUAUAUUUUAAUUUUUCUGUUAACACUUUUUUUUAAAUAAAAAAAAUCGUUUUUCUA